AAACCAGCACCUCAAGUGGUCAGGAGGAUUAUUGGGCCUAAAGCAUCCGUAGCCUGUUCUACAAGUUUCCGGUUAAAUCCAUUAGCUCAACUAAUGGGCCGCCGAAAAUACUGUAGAACUAGGGAGUGGGAGAGGUAGACGGUAUUCGGUAGGAAGGGGUAAAAUCCUUUGAUCUAUUGAGGACCACCUGUGGCGAAGGCGGUCUACCAGAACACGUUCGACGGUGAGGGAUGAAAGCUGGGGGAGCAAACCGGAUUAGAAACCCGGGUAGUCC
RNAcentral lists this ribosomal RNA (274 nucleotides) under uncultured bacterium. RNAcentral's name for it is "partial 16S ribosomal RNA". It matches the Rfam family "Archaeal small subunit ribosomal RNA", at positions 473 to 747 of the family's 1478-position model. The record is from RNAcentral.